RNAcentral lists this transfer RNA (77 nucleotides) under Alphaproteobacteria bacterium. Its description in RNAcentral is "tRNA-Arg". It matches the Rfam family "tRNA". From Rfam's summary of the family: Transfer RNA (tRNA) molecules are approximately 80 nucleotides in length. Their secondary structure includes four short double-helical elements and three loops (D, anti-codon, and T loops). The record is from RNAcentral. RNAcentral also lists the same sequence under 5 other names. Lineage: Bacteria; Pseudomonadati; Pseudomonadota; Alphaproteobacteria.
GCACCCGUGGCUCAACUGGAUAGAGCAUCGCCCUCCGAAGGCGGGGACUGCGCGUUCGAAUCGCGCCGGGUGCGCCA